This 167-nucleotide ribosomal RNA is filed under the name uncultured rumen bacterium. RNAcentral's name for it is "partial 16S ribosomal RNA". It matches the Rfam family "Bacterial small subunit ribosomal RNA", at positions 340 to 524 of the family's 1533-position model. The record is from RNAcentral.
UACGGGAGGCAGCAGUGGGGGAUAUUGCACAAUGGAGGGAACUCUGAUGCAGCGACGCCGCGUGAGUGAAGAAGUAUCUCGGUAUGUAAAGCUCUAUCAGCAGGGAAGAUAAUGACAGUACCUGACCAAGAAGCCCCGGCUAACUACGUGCCAGCAGCCGCGGUAAU